RNAcentral lists this ribosomal RNA (473 nucleotides) under uncultured bacterium. RNAcentral's name for it is "partial 16S ribosomal RNA". It matches the Rfam family "Bacterial small subunit ribosomal RNA", at positions 28 to 507 of the family's 1533-position model. The record is from RNAcentral.
GAUGAACGCUAGCGGCAGGCCUAAUACAUGCAAGUCGAACGGGUGGUCGCAAGACCACUAGUGGCGCACGGGUGCGUAACGCGUAACCAACCUGCCCCGAUCUGGGGGAUAGCCCGCCGAAAGGCGGAUUAAUACCGCAUAUACCCGCAGCCUGGCAUCAGGCAACGGGGAAAGAUUUAUUGGAUCGGGAUGGGGUUGCGUGACAUUAGCUAGUUGGCGGGGUAAGGGCCCGCCACGGCGACGAGGUCUAGGGGACCUGAGAGGGUGCACCCCCACACUGGCACUGGGUUCCGGGCCCGACUCGUGCGGGAGGCAGGAGUAGGGAAUCUUGGGCCGUGGGCGUGAGCCUGCCCCAGCCCUGCCGCGUGCCGGAUCAAGGCCUUCUGGGUUGUAUACGGCUUUUCUCAGGGAAGAAAAAGACCUUGCGAGGUACACUGACGGUACCUGAGGAAUAAGCACCGGCUAACUCCGUG